This 373-nucleotide ribosomal RNA is filed under the name uncultured organism. RNAcentral's name for it is "partial 16S ribosomal RNA". It matches the Rfam family "Bacterial small subunit ribosomal RNA", at positions 527 to 896 of the family's 1533-position model. The record is from RNAcentral.
GUAGGUGGCAAGCGUUGUCCGGAAUUAUUGGGCGUAAAGCGCGCGCAGGCGGUCCUUUAAGUCUGAUGUGAAAGCCCACGGCUCAACCGUGGAGGGUCAUUGGAAACUGGGGGACUUGAGUACAGAAGAGGAAAGCGGAAUUCCAAGUGUAGCGGUGAAAUGCGUAGAGAUUUGGAGGAACACCAGCGGCGAAGGCGGCUUUCUGGUCUGUAACUGACGCUGAGGCGCGAAAGCGUGGUGAGCAAACAGGGAUUAGAUACCCUGGUAGUCCACGCCGUAAACGAUGAGUGCUAAGUGUUAGGGGGUUUCCGCCCCCUUAGUGCUGCAGCUAACGCAUUAAGCACUCCGCCUGGGGAGUACGGCCGCAAGGCUG